CCUCUAACCGUUAUCCUCAAUUCCCCAUCCUGGGACUUGUCUUAGGUUGUGCAGGCACUAAAUCCCUAUCCUGCAAACUCUACUCAUGUAAGUAAAGACUGUUCAGCAAAGAAAUUAGGAAAAAAAUACCUUCGAAUAAGGAACCAACAUUUGUCUCGUGUCAAAUGAGCCUCUGCCAGAGUCUGGCCACCUUUUUCCCAUACAGCUACUUGCUCCACAUCUAUCUCUAGUUACUAGGUAUGGUUAUAGGUGUGGCUGCAGAGACCAAAGGUCAUUCUCCAUUUUGGAAGACAGAGAAUCCUUGACUGCAGGGGGCAGAACAGAUUGUGGCUGGCUAAAGCUUGCAGAAGACUCACAUUGCUGUUUUAUGUAACGUUUAAAUAAAAAUAAUUUAGUUGAUAAAUACCAGCUGAACAGCAUGUACACAACCAGCAAGGAUGGACAGCCUGAAACCAUCACCUGAAUUGAGGUUUGGGGACAAUGUGGAAAAAUCAUGGAAACAUUUCAAACAAAAGUUCCUGUGGUAUAUGCCAACAGUGAAUGCACAUACAGUGAGCAGUGCAGGAAAGUGCCCUUAUUGUUAAGUGUAACUGGUGCAGUGUUCCUAGAUUAGUUUUCAGCUCACACUCACAGAAAAAAAAAUGAUUCUGUUAGAUUACUAGCAUAGCUGGAAGCUUAUUGUGUAUGUAGAAAGAAUGAAAGCUAUGAAAGAUUCCGUUUCCAUCGGAGUAUAAAUGCCACAAGAAAAUAUUUUAGGAACUUUCCAGAUUAGAAAUUCAAAAGCCAGUCUUGCAAUUUUGGUUACUUAGAGAUUGCCUGAUAGACACAGGCUAAUGGUGGGCUGUAGACCAUAGAUUUGUAAACUUGUGUGCUUAAGUCAUUGAGGUUUGGUUUUUUGUUUUUGUGCCCUAAGUUGUACAUGCAAACCUGGCAAUUGCAUACGUACUUGUGAAUGAACCACUAAGAAACUGCAAAAUACAUGUUUUGUGCAUACAACUUGGUGACCAGUUCUGAAAAUUUGGUCUUAAAUGUUUGCACUGCUUUUCAACAACCAGAUCUUUUCUUCUAAACACUGUUUUCCACAGGCUUUGGCUGGGAUUGUCUCCACAUUACAACUUUAAAAAAAAAAAAAAAAGUUUGUUUGUUUGUAAAUGUGGACUGAAAGGUUAAGGCCCUUGGCAGAGUGAUUUGGGAACAAACUAUGAUGUGUCCCAUCUUGAAUGUUAGCUCCACUGUAUGUUAUAUACAUUCAUGCAAUGCAAUAUAACCAGAUGGGAUGCAUCACUGCAAUGACAAAGCAGAAACUUAAACAAGGGCCUUAAAAAGGGGGUUGAAGUUUUUAUCUUUGAAAAUGACGUAAAGUUGAAAGUCUUAUUGCGGCUGGUUUAUUGCAAAUCAUCAGAAGCUGAAAUGGGGGAAAAAAAAAGUAGAGCUAUUACUUCCCUAUAUAGAGAGUUUGAGGUCAUCUAUCCCCUUGCAGAAUCCAGGGCCUUAGGUAGUGCCGACUCCUUGAAGUUUUAGACACUCACUUAAAAGGACACAGUCAAAUUAUUUGGGCUUCAGUGAUUGUCCAUGGACUGGUAGUAGAAAAUAUGCCUAAAGUGCCAACUCCAAGAUCUGUUUUGUUUUGUUGUUAUCUCUAUUUAUUACCUAUAUAUUGGUGUGAGAAUGCUAAACUUUUUGCUCCUUUUAAAAAUUUUUAUGGCUGAGACUUUGUGAUAGCUAUUGCAGCCAGGUGAAGUUUCUUUGGGGACAAUAUUAUAUUAAGUUUAUGAAUGUUUUAUAUAUCAUUGUGGGCCAGGGAUUGGGUUACCACAGCUCCUUCAGGAACUAAAAACAGCAAGGGGGAUUAUUCCAGUCCCUGAAAUUGUAAACUGCUCCAGAGACACACCAUCCACUGGGUUGGUUUGCAUAUACUGGUUUAGGGCAAUCCCCCAGGAGAGGCAAGAGACACAGAAAAAAAUUGGAAUAGAAAGGCUGAGUUUAAACAGACUCAGUGUUUUCCUUUUGAUUCAGCAAAUGGACAGGACCUUUGGACCUAAGAGGGCCCCAAAUUUGCUGAAGCAUUGGAAGGACUUUGGCCUACCACAGCCCCAUAGGACUGACAGAUGAUUUCUGGUACACUUAGUAUGGGUGUGGAACCUUUGAUUGUUUUAUUGUGUUUUCUCUGUGAUGCUUUUCCCCAAGAAAAAACAUACUUUGCUUUGUGAAGUUGGUAACCGAGAUACACUGUUGUAGGUCUCCCUGCCCUUGAGAAAGAGAAAACUACAGAUGCUGGACCCUGGUCAGAUAUGCUGGGGAAAUCACAAUGAGGUGCAGAGGGACUGCAAGAUUAACCCCUGGUGUGGAAGGAGAGACAUGGGUCUCUGCCAAAGGAAGUGACAGCUAAGAAGCUUGAGACUUUAAGUGGAUGUUUAAGUGGUCAAAGGUGAAGUUAACUCUGAAACUCUGACAGACUUCUCUGUGCGUAAAUCAUUGCAGCCCCAUUGCACCAAUAGAUUAUUCAGACCUGUUUCAGAGGGUCCCUAAUCAAACUCCUAUCUCCUGUUCAGCAAUACAUUGCCUACUCAUUGCAUCUUCACUUCUCCUCUGUCCUUUGCUAUUGUUGUGCCACUUCUUAUUUCAAAUGCCAAGCACAAUCAGUUGUACGGAGCUUGGUACCACUCACUGAUACUGUGACCAGGCCCCCUGUAACACAUCCUCAUUAUAAUCAGGCCUUUUGUGAGAAGGAACAUCUUUAGCAGGAGAGACUGAAGGAGAUCUGCAUCAGACUAUCCCAGGGUCCAGUGGAGCACUCUCCUCCGAGAUGGGACACAUCUGUUCAAAUCCUUUCCCCCCAUCAGGCAGAGGGGGGAAUUGAACUUGGGGCUCCCACUUUUUGGGUGAGUGUCUAACUACUGUGCUAAAAGUCACAGCCUAGGUAACAUCAGUACCUCCUCCUUGUUUUGUGUGGACCCAAGGCCAACACCUAAUUCAGUCUCACAAGAAACAGCUUUGGCACCUAAACUGCCUGACUCCAGGAGAGGGACUUCCAGCUGUGGAUUGCAAGCACAGAUUGGAACCUCCCUACAGCCUAGACUUGGGCACUGAACUGCAUGAGAGAAGUGGUGUUUAUCAUACACCCCUCUCUUUGGCAUCUCCCUUUGGCGUAGGCAGCUCCCCAUCGAGCAUGCUGGCUUCCAUGGAUCCCAUUCUUAGGUGCUUAUCUCUCCUCAUUCAUUGUAUAGGGAGCCUAGGCAUCUA
Molecule: long non-coding RNA, 3243 nt
Organism: Dermochelys coriacea (leatherback sea turtle)
Lineage: Eukaryota; Metazoa; Chordata; Testudines; Dermochelyidae
Exons: 3
Source: RefSeq, a predicted model, not a curated record